GGAUGUGAGGGCGAUCUGGCUGCGACAUCUGUAACCCCACUCACUGAUCGCCAGGGUUGAUUCGGCUAAUCUAGGCAGGUGUCCCCUUCCUCCCUCACCGCUCCAUGUGCGUCCCUCCCUAAGCAGCAUGCUUGGAAGAGGACGGCCUUCCCCGAAUAGAGACGGACCGGUCUUCGGUCGAGGGUAUACGAGUAGCUGCGCUCCCCGGCUAGAACCUCCAAACAAGCUCUCAAGAGAUCUCCCUGCAUUUGAAAACAUUUUAUCAGGGCAUGUAAAACCAAAACGUCUACCUUGCUUUAUAGUUACAUAACUAUGUCCCUAACUAGAUGA
This 330-nucleotide small nuclear RNA is filed under the name Erinaceus europaeus (western European hedgehog). Its description in RNAcentral is "7SK RNA (ENSEEUG00000020115.1)". It matches the Rfam family "7SK RNA". From Rfam's summary of the family: 7SK was discovered as an abundant small nuclear RNA in the mid-70s but a possible function has only recently been suggested. Two independent studies have found that 7SK RNA binds the CDK9/cyclin T complex (known as elongation factor P-TEFb). P-TEFb activates transcription by phosphorylating the C-terminal domain of RNA polymerase II. Lineage: Eukaryota; Metazoa; Chordata; Mammalia; Eulipotyphla; Erinaceidae. The record is from RNAcentral.